CCUGAACGCUGGCGGCGUGGCUAAGACAUGCAAGUCGAACGGGUGUAGCAAUACACCAGUGGCGGACGGGUGAGUAAUGUAUCGCUAACGUGCCCUGGAAUCUGAGAUAGCCAAUCGAAAGGUUGGGUAAUACCAGAUGAAAUAUCCUUAUCGCAUGAUGAGGAUCUCAAAGGAGCAAUCCGGUCUGGGAGCGGGCGAUAUCGUAUCAGCUAGUUGGUGAGGUAACGGCUCACCAAGGCGACGACGCGUAGCCGGGCUGAGAGGUCGGCCGGCCACAUUGGGACUGAGACACUGCCCAGACUCCCGUACGGGGG
RNAcentral lists this ribosomal RNA (314 nucleotides) under uncultured bacterium. RNAcentral describes it as "bacterial SSU rRNA". It matches the Rfam family "Bacterial small subunit ribosomal RNA", at positions 30 to 347 of the family's 1533-position model. The record is from RNAcentral.